CGAAGUCUGGUGCCAGCAGCCGCGGUAAUUCCAGCUCCAAUAGCGUAUAUUAAAGUUGUUGCAGUUAAAAAGCUCGUAGUUGAAUUUCGGGGUUAGUAGGUUGGUCAUGCCUCUGGUAUGUACUGGUCUCACUGAUUCCUCCUUCCUGAUGAACCUUAAUGCCAUUAAUUUGGUGUUUUGGGGAAUUUGGACUGUUACUUUGAAAAAUUAGAGUGUUUAAAGCAAGCUAACGCUUGAAUACAUUAGCAUGGAAUAAUGAAAUAGGACGUUCGAUCCUAUUUUGUUGGUUUCUAGGAUUGACGUAAUGAUUAAUAGGGAUAGUUGGGGGCAUUAGUAUUCAAUUGUCAGAGGUGAAAUUCUUGGAUUUAUUGAAGACUAACUACUGCGAAAGCAUUUGCCAAGGAUGUUUUCAUUAAUCAAGAACGAAAGUUAGGGGGAUCGAAGACGAUCAGAUACCGUCGUAGUCUUAACCAUAAACUAUGCCGACUAGGGAUCGGAUGAUGUUAAUUUUUUUAAUGACUCAUUCGGCGCCUUACGG
RNAcentral lists this ribosomal RNA (538 nucleotides) under uncultured Glomus. RNAcentral describes it as "SSU rRNA". It matches the Rfam family "Eukaryotic small subunit ribosomal RNA", at positions 555 to 1093 of the family's 1831-position model. The record is from RNAcentral. Lineage: Eukaryota; Fungi; Glomeromycota; Glomeromycetes; Glomerales; Glomeraceae.